Molecule: ribosomal RNA, 406 nt
Filed under: uncultured bacterium
Lineage: Bacteria
Description: partial 16S ribosomal RNA
Rfam family: Bacterial small subunit ribosomal RNA
Source: RNAcentral
AUUGAACGCUGGCGGCAGGCUUAACACAUGCAAGUCGAGCGAGUGGCGGACGGGUGAGUAAUGUCUGGGAAACUGCCUGAUGGAGGGGGAUCACUACUGGAAACGGUAGCUAAUACCGCAUACCAUCGGAUGUGCCCAGAUGGGAUUAGCUCGUAGGUGGGGUAAAGGCUCACCUAGGCGACGAUCCCUAGCUGGUCUGAGAGGAUGACCAGCCAAACGGGAACUGAGAAACGGUCAAGACUCCUACGGGAGGCAGCAGUGGGGAAUAUUGGACAAUGGGGGCAAGCCUGAUGCAGCCAUGCCGCGUGUAGGAAGAAGGCCUUCGGGUUGUAAAGUACGUUCAGCGGGGAGGCGUUACCCGCAGAAGAAGCACCGGCUAACUCCGUGCCAGCAGCCGCGGUAAUAC